CUCAGUUUUCCAGUCGGACGAACGCAAGUACUUCACGAGUUUCCCUCAUCCCUCUCAGGCGGACAAGCUCGGUCCCGGCCCGUGAGGCGGCCGAGCCCCCGCCCCCUACCCCGGCCCCCGGCCGCCCCGCACGCCACGGCCCCGCUCGCCGCGGACGCCGGACCUCCCCGCCUCAGGGCGCGCGGAGACCCUGGUGGCCCCGCCUUCCCCCCCGGUAACGGGAGCUGCCGCGGGUCGGCGGGCAGAGCAGACGCCCCCAUCCAGCGCCCUCAGGUUUGCUCGCGACCCUCCAGAGCUCAGUUAACGGCACCACUGGACACAGGACUGAGCUCCACAAGAGGAAGAACUACAUUGGCCUGGCUCACAGAGCAUCCACAACCACACCAUUGAAGACCAGGGAGUAUCAUUCCUACUCCAGUCCAUAUACAAUUCGUAUGAACAGUUUCCCUUGGAGUCAUGUAACAUGAUAGCUAUAGGGAUGGUCUGUUGGAGGGAAAAAGACAGAAAGCUGUUUCUACAUUGUUGGAUUCCAUAAUGGCAGAGAAGGAGAAGAAACAUUUUUGAAGGCCAUGGAGGGGGGAGAACAAAGAGGCAGGGACUUGGGAAACGGAGACACUGUGGAGUGUGAGUGUUUCAAGGUGAGUGCGUGCACAUGGCCGAGAACAUUUUUCUCUGCAGGAUAUCUGUAGGGUUCACUUGCUUUCCCUUUUGUAAGUUUAUUUUCAUUUUAUUUAAGAAAGAGCCCUUCCACCCAUUGACUCACUCCCCAGGCACAGACUGCUGGCUACAGUCAGGGCUGAGUCUGGUCGAAGCCAGGAGCACUGACCUGACCUGGGUCUGCCUCAGCUACUCGAGCCAUUACCUUCUGCUAUCCGAAGUGGAUAUUUUCAGCAAGUGGUGUGGAGCUGAGACUCAAACCCAAAUAUUCCACAUGAGAUGCAAGUGUCCCAAGGACAAUCAGUGUUCCAAAUGCCCACUCCUGACAGCUCUUUUCCCUAGGACCGUCCUGAGACCAUGUUUAUGAAAUCCCAGAUGUG
This is a long non-coding RNA of Ochotona princeps (American pika), 1037 nucleotides long. RefSeq lists it as uncharacterized. The transcript is spliced from 3 exons. The record is from RefSeq and is a predicted model, not a curated record. Lineage: Eukaryota; Metazoa; Chordata; Mammalia; Lagomorpha; Ochotonidae.